RNAcentral lists this ribosomal RNA (920 nucleotides) under uncultured bacterium. RNAcentral describes it as "bacterial SSU rRNA". It matches the Rfam family "Bacterial small subunit ribosomal RNA", at positions 8 to 924 of the family's 1533-position model. The record is from RNAcentral.
AGAGUUUGAUCCUGGCUCAGGAUGAACGCUGGCGGCGUGCCUAAUACAUGCAAGUCGAACGAAUCUUCUUCGGAAGAUGAGUGGCGAACGGGUGAGUAAUACAUAGGUAACCUGCCCCUGUGCGGGGGAUAACAGGAGGAAACUCCUGCUAAUACCGCAUAGCCAUGAGCACCGCAUGGAGCUCAUGCCAAAUAUCCUUCAGGGGAUAGCGCAGGGAUGGACCUAUGGCGCAUUAGCUAGUUGGCGGGGCAACGGCCCACCAAGGCAACGAUGCGUAGCCGGCCUGAGAGGGCGGACGGCCACAUUGGGACUGAGACACGGCCCAGACUCCUACGGGAGGCAGCAGUAGGGAAUUUUCGGCAAUGGGGGAAACCCUGACCGAGCAACGCCGCGUGAGCGAAGAAGGCCUUCGGGUCGUAAAGCUCUGUUGUAAAGGAAGAACGUCGCAUGCAGGAAAUGGUGUGCGAGUGACGGUACUUUACCAGAAAGCCACGGCUAACUACGUGCCAGCAGCCGCGGUAAUACGUAGGUGGCGAGCGUUAUCCGGAAUCAUUGGGCGUAAAGAGGGAGCAGGCGGCCGCAAGGGUCUGUGGUGAAAGACCGAAGCUAAACUUCGGUAAGCCAUGGAAACCGGGCGGCUAGAGUGCGGAAGAGGAUCGUGGAAUUCCAUGUGUAGCGGUGAAAUGCGUAGAUAUAUGGAGGAACACCAGUGGCGAAGGCGACGGUCUGGGCCGCAACUGACGCUCAUUCCCGAAAGCGUGGGGAGCAAAUAGGAUUAGAUACGGGUAGUAGUCCACGCCGUAAACGAUGGUCACUAAGUGUCGGGGGUCAAACCCCGGUGCUGCAGUCAACGCAAUAAGUGACCCGCCUGAGUAGUACGUUCGCAAGAAUGAAACUCAAAGGAAUUGACGGAAGGGCGA